RNAcentral lists this ribosomal RNA (234 nucleotides) under uncultured bacterium. Its description in RNAcentral is "partial 16S ribosomal RNA". It matches the Rfam family "Bacterial small subunit ribosomal RNA", at positions 118 to 348 of the family's 1533-position model. The record is from RNAcentral.
UGAGGAACAUGUCCUUCGGCGGGGGAGUAGCCGGCCCAACGGCCGGGUAAUACCGCGUACGACCACAUGGGGACAUCCCUGAGUGGUGAAAGCAGCAAUGCGCCGAUGGAGUGCCUCGCGGCCUAUCAGCUAGUUGGUGAGGUAACGGCUCACCAAGGCGACGACGGGUAGCUGGUCUGAGAGGAUGGCCAGCCACAUUGGGACUGAGACACGGCCCAGACCUNUACCGGGAGG